AACACGUGGGCAAUCUGCCCUUCACUCUGGGACAAGCCCUGGAAACGGGGUCUAAUACCGGAUAACACUCCUGCCUGCAUGGGCGGGGGUUAAAAGCUCCGGCGGUGAAGGAUGAGCCCGCGGCCUAUCAGCUUGUUGGUGGGGUAAUGGCCUACCAAGGCGACGACGGGUAGCCGGCCUGAGAGGGCGACCGGCCACACUGGGACUGAGACACGGCCCAGACUCCUACGGGAGGCAGCAGUGGGGAAUAUUGCACAAUGGGCGAAAGCCUGAUGCAGCGACGCCGCGUGAGGGAUGACGGCCUUCGGGUUGUAAACCUCUUUCAGCAGGGAAGAAGCGAAAGUGACGGUACCUGCAGAAGAAGCGCCGGCUAACUACGUGCCAGCAGCCGCGGUAAUACGUAGGGCGCAAGCGUUGUCCGGAAUUAUUGGGCGUAAAGAGCUCGUAGGCGGCUUGUCGCGUCGGAUGUGAAAGCCCGGGGCUUAACCCCGGGUCUGCAUUCGAUACGGGCAGGCUAGAGUGUGGUAGGGGAGAUCGGAAUUCCUGGUGUAGCGGUGAAAUGCGCAGAUAUCAGGAGGAACACCGGUGGCGAAGGCGGAUCUCUGGGCCAUUACUGACGCUGAGGAGCGAAAGCGUGGGGAGCGAACAGGAUUAGAUACCCUGGUAGUCCACGCCGUAAA
Molecule: ribosomal RNA, 680 nt
Filed under: Streptomyces sp. A24MG592
Lineage: Bacteria; Bacillati; Actinomycetota; Actinomycetes; Kitasatosporales; Streptomycetaceae
Description: bacterial SSU rRNA
Rfam family: Bacterial small subunit ribosomal RNA
Source: RNAcentral